RNAcentral lists this unclassified non-coding RNA (759 nucleotides) under Hevea brasiliensis (rubber tree). Lineage: Eukaryota; Viridiplantae; Streptophyta; Magnoliopsida; Malpighiales; Euphorbiaceae. The record is from RNAcentral.
UCAUUUCCUGCGAAGCAGUGUAGAGACAGAACAAACCCUCUACUCACCGUCAGAUCAAAUUUUCAAAUUCAUCAAUCAAAUCAGAUCAUCAUUUCCGAUCACGAUGACCACCAGCAUCCACAUCACCGCCCUCGACGGUAUCGUUAAUGUCAACUCCCUCUUCACUCUCGCCGUCUUCGUCGGCCUUGCCUGGAACCCAACCGACCCCAACAACUCCCUUAUCACCGAUCCCACCUCCCCUUGCGCUGCCGGAUCCACCAUUGUCGAGAACAUCGUCUCCUAUCAUGUCUACUCGUUCAGUUCCUUUCUCUUCUCCAGCUUGAUCGCUCUUGCACUCAAGCAAGCUCUGCGGAUCGCCAAGACCCCCGAUUUUCACUCUCAUUCCCAUCACUUGCCCGAGUUCUUUGCGCGCGUGAACAAGAAUUCGCUUCGAGUGGGGAUGCUGGCUUCUGGUGUCGGUUCAGUUGUCGGGUGCGUGUUCUUGAUGCUGGCAUUGAUUAAUGUGGUUCAGUUCAAGCUCGGGACUUUGGCUUGUGGAAGUGGGCAUAGCUUAGCUGCGGUUGUGCCUCUUGUGAUUUUUGUCCCUAUUGCUCUCGUGAUUUAUGUGUGUAUUGUUUUGUAUGCUUUUGGUCGCUAAUCUUUAUUUUUUAGAAUGAUUUGCGAGGCAUAUGAUUGAGGUACUUGUAGAUUAGAUCUAGGAGGUAAAUUAAUUAUGGUAAAUUAAUUAUCUGAGUACUAUCAUCUUCAUAAAAGACAUAC